RNAcentral lists this ribosomal RNA (1523 nucleotides) under Enterococcus faecium. Its description in RNAcentral is "bacterial SSU rRNA". It matches the Rfam family "Bacterial small subunit ribosomal RNA". The record is from RNAcentral. Lineage: Bacteria; Bacillati; Bacillota; Bacilli; Lactobacillales; Enterococcaceae.
AGAGUUUGAUCAUGGCUCAGGACGAACGCUGGCGGCGUGCCUAAUACAUGCAAGUCGAACGCUUCUUUUUCCACCGGAGCUUGCUCCACCGGAAAAAGAGGAGUGGCGAACGGGUGAGUAACACGUGGGUAACCUGCCCAUCAGAAGGGGAUAACACUUGGAAACAGGUGCUAAUACCGUAUAACAAUCGAAACCGCAUGGUUUUGAUUUGAAAGGCGCUUUCGGGUGUCGCUGAUGGAUGGACCCGCGGUGCAUUAGCUAGUUGGUGAGGUAACGGCUCACCAAGGCCACGAUGCAUAGCCGACCUGAGAGGGUGAUCGGCCACAUUGGGACUGAGACACGGCCCAAACUCCUACGGGAGGCAGCAGUAGGGAAUCUUCGGCAAUGGACGAAAGUCUGACCGAGCAACGCCGCGUGAGUGAAGAAGGUUUUCGGAUCGUAAAACUCUGUUGUUAGAGAAGAACAAGGAUGAGAGUAACUGUUCAUCCCUUGACGGUAUCUAACCAGAAAGCCACGGCUAACUACGUGCCAGCAGCCGCGGUAAUACGUAGGUGGCAAGCGUUGUCCGGAUUUAUUGGGCGUAAAGCGAGCGCAGGCGGUUUCUUAAGUCUGAUGUGAAAGCCCCCGGCUCAACCGGGGAGGGUCAUUGGAAACUGGGAGACUUGAGUGCAGAAGAGGAGAGUGGAAUUCCAUGUGUAGCGGUGAAAUGCGUAGAUAUAUGGAGGAACACCAGUGGCGAAGGCGGCUCUCUGGUCUGUAACUGACGCUGAGGCUCGAAAGCGUGGGGAGCAAACAGGAUUAGAUACCCUGGUAGUCCACGCCGUAAACGAUGAGUGCUAAGUGUUGGAGGGUUUCCGCCCUUCAGUGCUGCAGCUAACGCAUUAAGCACUCCGCCUGGGGAGUACGACCGCAAGGUUGAAACUCAAAGGAAUUGACGGGGGCCCGCACAAGCGGUGGAGCAUGUGGUUUAAUUCGAAGCAACGCGAAGAACCUUACCAGGUCUUGACAUCCUUUGACCACUCUAGAGAUAGAGCUUCCCCUUCGGGGGCAAAGUGACAGGUGGUGCAUGGUUGUCGUCAGCUCGUGUCGUGAGAUGUUGGGUUAAGUCCCGCAACGAGCGCAACCCUUAUUGUUAGUUGCCAUCAUUCAGUUGGGCACUCUAGCAAGACUGCCGGUGACAAACCGGAGGAAGGUGGGGAUGACGUCAAAUCAUCAUGCCCCUUAUGACCUGGGCUACACACGUGCUACAAUGGGAAGUACAACGAGUCGCGAAGUCGCGAGGCUAAGCUAAUCUCUUAAAGCUUCUCUCAGUUCGGAUUGCAGGCUGCAACUCGCCUGCAUGAAGCCGGAAUCGCUAGUAAUCGCGGAUCAGCACGCCGCGGUGAAUACGUUCCCGGGCCUUGUACACACCGCCCGUCACACCACGAGAGUUUGUAACACCCGAAGUCGGUGAGGUAACCUUUUGGAGCCAGCCGCCUAAGGUGGGAUAGAUGAUUGGGGUGAAGUCGUAACAAGGUAACCGU